UUGAACGCUGGCGGCAGGCCUAACACAUGCAAGUCGAACGGUAACAGGAAGCAGCUUGCUGCUUUGCUGACGAGUGGCGGACGGGUGAGUAAUGUCUGGGAAACUGCCCGGUGGAGGGGGAUAACUACUGGAAACGGUAGCUAAUACCGCAUAACGUCGCAAGACCAAAGAGGGGGACCUUAGGGCCUCUUGCCAUCGGAUGUGCCCAGAUGGGAUUAGCUAGUAGGUGGGGUAACGGCUCACCUAGGCGACGAUCCCUAGCUGGUCUGAGAGGAUGACCAGCCACACUGGAACUGAGACACGGUCCAGACUCCUACGGGAGGCAGCAGUGGGGAAUAUUGCACAAUGGGCGCAAGCCUGAUGCAGCCAUGCCGCGUGUAUGAAGAAGGCCUUCGGGUUGUAAAGUACUUUCAGCGGGGAGGAAGGGAGUAAAGUUAAUACCUUUGCUCAUUGACGUUACCCGCAGAAGAAGCACCGGCUAACUCCGUG
RNAcentral lists this ribosomal RNA (489 nucleotides) under uncultured bacterium. RNAcentral's name for it is "partial 16S ribosomal RNA". It matches the Rfam family "Bacterial small subunit ribosomal RNA", at positions 30 to 507 of the family's 1533-position model. The record is from RNAcentral.